UAGGGAAUCUUCCGCAAUGGACGCAAGUCUGACGGAGCAACGCCGCGUGAGUGAAGAAGGAUUUCGGUUCGUAAAACUCUGUUGUUAGAGAAGAACAGCGCAUAGAGUAACUGUUAUGCGUGUGACGGUAUCUAACCAGAAAGCCACGGCUAACUACGUGCCAGCAGCCACGGUAAUACGUAGGUGGCAAGCGUUGUCCGGAUUUAUUGGGCGUAAAGCGAGCGCAGGCGGUCAAUUAAGUCUGAUGUGAAAGCCCCCGGCUCAACCGGGGAGGGUCAUUGGAAACUGGUUGACUUGAGUGCAGAAGAGGAGAGUGGAAUUCCAUGUGUAGCGGUGAAAUGCGUAGAUAUAUGGAGGAACACCAGUGGCGAAGGCGACUCUCUGGUCUGUAACUGACGCUGAGGCUCGAAAGCGUGGGUAGCAAACAGG
Molecule: ribosomal RNA, 429 nt
Filed under: Bacteroidota bacterium
Lineage: Bacteria; Pseudomonadati; Bacteroidota
Description: Bacteroidetes bacterium partial 16S ribosomal RNA
Rfam family: Bacterial small subunit ribosomal RNA
Source: RNAcentral